UACAGAGGUCCCGAGCGUUGUUCGGAUUCACUGGGCGUAAAGGGUGCGUAGGUGGCAAGGUAAGUUUGAUGUGAAAGCUCAGGGCUUAACCCUGAAAUGGCAUUGAAUACUACUGUGCUGGAGGUUUGGAGGGGGGACUGGAAUUCUUGGUGUAGCAGUGAAAUGCGUAGAUAUCAAGAGGAACACCAGUGGCGAAGGCGAGUCCCUGGACAACACCUGACACUGAGGCACGAAAGCUAGGGGAGCAAACAGG
Molecule: ribosomal RNA, 253 nt
Filed under: uncultured bacterium
Lineage: Bacteria
Description: partial 16S ribosomal RNA
Rfam family: Bacterial small subunit ribosomal RNA
Source: RNAcentral